UCAUCUUUCUCUAUCUACUACCACCUCUCACUCAUACGUUCUACACACAAACAUUCAUCUGUUUUCUUUUCUUUGAACAAGACCAAAAACAGAACAAGAGAAGCAUGAAGAGAACCUGCAAUUUUCUGCAGUUUGCAACAGUAUUUCAAAUUGACUUAUGGCUUAUUUUGGAUCGUUUUAAGGUUUUUAUGUGCUGUCUUUUGGAUUUUAAUGCUUUUCUGAAACAGAGAAACCUGUGAGAGAGAAAGCUACCGUGGAAGUUGAAUAUAUUGAAUCGGAGAACUUGAAUAAUGUCUUUCUAUAUUCCACAAGGAACCAAUGAUGCAUAUGCUGAACCUUUAUUUUCCGACAGCUUCCGCUACUGAUGCAAAAUGCGCAAGAAAUGGAACUGUCUUAUGGAAAUGCCAUACAGAUAGG
Brassica oleracea var. oleracea is the source of this 417-nucleotide long non-coding RNA. RefSeq lists it as uncharacterized. The record is from RefSeq and is a predicted model, not a curated record. The transcript has 3 exons. Lineage: Eukaryota; Viridiplantae; Streptophyta; Magnoliopsida; Brassicales; Brassicaceae.